ACCCGGCUGAUGAGUCCCAAAUAGGUCGAAACGCACGUCCUGUAU
RNAcentral lists this non-coding RNA (45 nucleotides) under Schistosoma haematobium. The record is from RNAcentral. Lineage: Eukaryota; Metazoa; Platyhelminthes; Trematoda; Strigeidida; Schistosomatidae.